GUUCGUAACGGCUCAGAUUGAACGCUGGCGGGAUGCUUUACACAUGCAAGUCGAACAGCAGCACAGUUCGGUCUGGUGGCGAGUGGCGAACGGGUGAGUAAUGUCGGAACGUGCCUAGUAGCGAGGAAUCGCCACGCCAGCGUAGCUAAUACAUACGCCUUGUCGGGGAAAGCGGGGGGACCUUCGGGCCUCACUAUUAGAGCGGCCGAUAUCGGAUUAGCUAGUUGGUGGGGUAACGAAAGCUCUCACCAAGGCAGCGACGAUCCAUCGGAUUUGAGAGGACGACCAGCCACACUGGGACUGAGACGGCGAACUCCUACAGGAGGCCGCAGUGAAAUUUUGGACAAUGGGGGAAACCCUGAUCAGCCAUCCCGCGUGUGCGAUGAAGGCCUUCCGGGUUGGCAAACACUUUGGCAGGAAAGAAACGGCACGGGAUAAUACCCGUGCAAUGACAGUACCUGCAGGAGAUGACACCGGCUAGCUACCCGUGCCAGCGGCCGCGAUGUGCGGCGUAGGGUGCAAGCGUUAAUCGGAAUUACUGGGCGUAAAGCGUGCGCAGGCGGUUCCGAAGAAAGAUGUGAAAUCCCAGAGCUUAACUUUGGAACUGCGUUUUCGCUACGACUGAAAUUGUGUCAGAGAAUUAAUUCCGCGUGUAGCAGUGAAAUGCGUAGAUAUGCUGGAGGAACACCGAUGGCGAGCUCAGCCUCCUGGGGAUAUGACGCUCGCUUGCACGAAAAGCGUUGGGGCAAACAGGAUUAGAUACCCUGGUAGUCCACGCCUAAACGAUGUCAACUAGCUGUUGAGCCUUCGGGCCUUACAGCGCCUGGCUAACGGCGUGAAGUUGACCGCCUGGGGAGUACGGUCGCAAGAUUAAAACUCAAAGGAAUUGACAGGGACCCGCACAAGCGGUGGAUGAUGUGGAUUAAUUCGAUGCAACAUGAAAAACCUUACCUGCCCUUGACAUGUCUGGAAUCCGAAGAGAUUUGGGAGUGCUCACGCAAGAGAGCCGGAACACAGGUGCUGCGUAGCUGUCGUCAGCUCGUGUCGUGAGAUGUUGGGUUAAGUCCACAACGAGCGCAACCCUUGUCAUUAGUUGCUACGAAAGGGCACUCUAAUGAGACUGCCGGUGACAAACCGGAGGAAGGGAUGACGUCAAGUCCUCAUGGCCCUUAUGGGUAGGGCUUCACACGUCAUACAAUGGUCGGGACAGAGGGUCGCCAACCCGCGAGGGGAGCCAAUCCCAGAAACCCGAUCGUAGUCCGGAUCGCAGUCUGCAACUCGACUGCGUGAAGUCGGAAUCGCUUCUUAGUAAUCGCGGAUCAGCAUGUCGCGGUGAGAAUGGCAUUCCCGGGCUCCUUGUACACACCGCCCGUCACACCAUGGGAGUGGGGCUUUACCAGAGUAGUUAGCCUAACCGUAAAGGAGGGCGAUUACGGUAGGGGACCAUGACUGAGGUGAAAUAACAAGGUAA
Molecule: ribosomal RNA, 1471 nt
Filed under: uncultured Bordetella sp.
Lineage: Bacteria; Pseudomonadati; Pseudomonadota; Betaproteobacteria; Burkholderiales; Alcaligenaceae
Description: partial 16S-23S ribosomal RNA intergenic spacer
Rfam family: Bacterial small subunit ribosomal RNA
Source: RNAcentral